Molecule: ribosomal RNA, 253 nt
Filed under: uncultured bacterium
Lineage: Bacteria
Description: partial 16S ribosomal RNA
Rfam family: Bacterial small subunit ribosomal RNA
Source: RNAcentral
UACGUAGGGGGCUAGCGUUGUCCGGAAUCAUUGGGCGUAAAGCGCGCGUAGGCGGCCAGAUAAGUCCGGUGUGAAAGUCACAGGCUCAACCUGUGAAUGCCGCUGGAAACUGUCUGGCUAGAGUCCGGAAGGGGCGAGUGAAAUUCCUGGUGUAGCGGUGAAGUGCGCAGAUAUCAGGAGGAACACCAAUGGCGAAGGCAGCUCGCUGGGACGGUACUGACGCUGAGGCGCGAAAGCGUGGGGAGCGAACAGG